CCCUUAGAUGUUCUGGGCCGCACGCGCGCUACACUGACGAUGGCAACGAGUUUUUCCUUCGCCGAAAGGUGUGGGUAAUCUUUUGAAACAUCGUCGUGCUGGGGAUAGAUCAUUGCAAUUUUUGAUCUUGAACGAGGAAUUCCUAGUAAGCGCGAGUCAUCAGCUCGCGUUGAUUACGUCCCUGCCCUUUGUACACACCGCCCGUCGCUACUACCGAUUGAAUGGUUUAGUGAGGACUCCUGAUCGGCGCCGCCGCCCCGGCAACGGAGCAGCGGACUGCCGAAAAGUUGUUCAAACUUGAUCAUUUAGAGGAAGUAAAAGUCGUAACA
RNAcentral lists this ribosomal RNA (329 nucleotides) under uncultured eukaryote. RNAcentral's name for it is "partial 18S ribosomal RNA". It matches the Rfam family "Eukaryotic small subunit ribosomal RNA", at positions 1470 to 1796 of the family's 1831-position model. The record is from RNAcentral.